Molecule: ribosomal RNA, 252 nt
Filed under: uncultured bacterium
Lineage: Bacteria
Description: partial 16S ribosomal RNA
Rfam family: Bacterial small subunit ribosomal RNA
Source: RNAcentral
UACGGAGGAUGCGAGCGUUAUCCGGAUUUAUUGGGUUUAAAGGGUGCGUAGGCGGGAUGCCAAGUCAGCGGUAAAAAUGCGGUGCUCAACGCCGUCGAGCCGUUGGAACUGGCGUUCUUGAGUGGGCGAGAAGUAUGCGGAAUGCGUGGUGUAGCGGUGAAAUGCAUAGAUAUCACGCAGAACUCCGAUUGCGAAGGCGGCAUACCGGCGCCCUACUGACGCUGAGGCACGAAAGCGUGGGUAUCGAACAGG